AGAGUUUGAUCCUGGCUCAGAUUGAACGCUGGCGGCAGGCUUAACACAUGCAAGUCGAGCGGAGUUGUGGUGCUUGCACCAUAACUUAGCGGCGGACGGGUGAGUAAUGCUUAGGAAUCUGCCUAUUAGUGGGGGACAACAUCUCGAAAGGGAUGCUAAUACCGCAUACGCCCUACGGGGGAAAGCAGGGGAUCUUCGGACCUUGCGCUAAUAGAUGAGCCUAAGUCGGAUUAGCUAGUUGGUGGGGUAAAGGCCUACCAAGGCGACGAUCUGUAGCGGGUCUGAGAGGAUGAUCCGCCACACUGGGACUGAGACACGGCCCAGACUCCUACGGGAGGCAGCAGUGGGGAAUAUUGGACAAUGGGGGGAACCCUGAUCCAGCCAUGCCGCGUGUGUGAAGAAGGCCUUUUGGUUGUAAAGCACUUUAAGCGAGGAGGAGGCUACUCUAGUUAAUACCUAGGGAUAGUGGACGUUACUCGCAGAAUAAGCACCGGCUAACUCUGUGCCAGCAGCCGCGGUAAUACAGAGGGUGCGAGCGUUAAUCGGAUUUACUGGGCGUAAAGCGUGCGUAGGCGGCUUUUUAAGUCGGAUGUGAAAUCCCUGAGCUUAACUUAGGAAUUGCAUUCGAUACUGGGAAGCUAGAGUAUGGGAGAGGAUGGUAGAAUUCCAGGUGUAGCGGUGAAAUGCGUAGAGAUCUGGA
This 700-nucleotide ribosomal RNA is filed under the name uncultured bacterium. RNAcentral describes it as "bacterial SSU rRNA". It matches the Rfam family "Bacterial small subunit ribosomal RNA", at positions 8 to 702 of the family's 1533-position model. The record is from RNAcentral.